This is a long non-coding RNA of Mercenaria mercenaria, 282 nucleotides long. RefSeq lists it as uncharacterized. The transcript has 3 exons. NCBI's taxonomy places the organism in Eukaryota, Metazoa, Mollusca, Bivalvia, Venerida, Veneridae. The record is from RefSeq and is a predicted model, not a curated record.
CCUGGAGUUUAAACAAAAUGGCCACCGGAUAAACUGUUGCCGAUACAAAACCAUUGUUUUGUUUGACAAUGCUCCUUUAAUGAUGUUGCAAUAAAAUUAUGGCAAUCACUUAGUCCGCAGUUAAAAUUGAUAGUUUUACAGAAAAGCUCUGGCUGCAAUUUAGUGCAGCGAAAUGGAACAUGCAAGCGAUAUGCACAACUCUAUGCUUGGUAAUGAUCAGUCCUGUGUAGUUUCAUCGAAAUCUGGCCUGCAGCUUGUCCUGUAAAAGCUGGACAGGCUUUA